UCCCACACAUGCAUAUGACAUCAGAGAGCUAUUCACCUGUGAUGUAUGUGUCAUUUAUGGUUGUGGUAGUGGAAUUUAACAAGUGAAAUUAACAUUCAGAUAUUUAACUUGGAUUACUUAACACUUGUUUCUAUAAAUCGCUACACAAAAGAUGCUGAUGACCUAGCACGAUGACCAUGUCACAGUCGUCAGAGAACAACUUGCCGACGACACAGAGUGCUACGGACUCGUCGACGCGUUCGUCCUCCUUCAACCUGGGACAGUCCACCACCAUACACUUCGAGGCAGAACAGAACAAUAAUGACAAAAAAACCCAUGACGCACGCGCACUCUGCCCUGGAUACCAUUCAAUGUGGGCGAUGCGUUGCGGUGCUUGCCAGCUGGCCUGUGGAUUUAUCCUGACUGUAUUAGGCGUCACAGCGUACUGUCUAUAUUUUGAUGACUUCUGGAAGAAACACAGUCCGAAUAAUUAUUACGAUGUACCAAUAGAUCAACGGAUGCAUCGUUCACAAAUUGGGAUCUGGGGCGGGGUUUUCACCAUGACUACUGGAAUUGUGGGUAUUUUGUCGGCCAUUUUGAAAAGGCGAUAUGUUAUUGUGCUGUGUUUGGUUAUGUCAGUGAUAUCUGCUCUGGCAGGAGCCGCCACGAUAGCUAUAGCUAUACUUUCUAUAAACACAGACAGAAACGUGUUAGUCGAUGGCUAUCUUGCCAGCAACCAGACAAACAAUGUUGCUUACGCGUUAGUUUGGAUGGAAAUCUUAAAAAGCCGUUUCGCUGUCAACGCGAGUUUGAUCGUUGUGGCAUUAGUGGAAAUAGUGCCAGCGCUUUUGCAAAUUAUCUUCUGCGGUCGGGCACGGCGAAAGUCUGCAGAUCUAACUGGCGGGAUGAGGAUGAACCAAGACAUCCCUAAAGGACUGACAACAGAGGGGGAUUCUUACUUCUGGAUCCCACUGCCUGCCCACCCUAAACAAAGUCUUCAAGUGACAUUUGGCCCAACCAUCAACAGUGGUGACGGUUCAUACUACCUGACCGUAUCGCAUCCUGAGGGACUGAACACCAUGAGAUGAUACUGACCGAAGGACACUGCUGCAACUAUAGCCUGUGAUUAACUUUUGACAAAAUUGUUCGGUUGAGAUAAUAUCUCAACAUCACCACUUCCUCAAUAGGGCUUGUGAGAAUCACCUGAUGUAUAAGCAUUCCGUGAUCGAUCCAUGUCUGCGAGGAAUCUCGGAGAUAUAGUGCUUGGGUUCCCCUACUUCUGAUUCCAUGGUUUCACCUGUAAUCAUUCUUAGAGAGCCGGUUGCUUGGUUGCCGGUCUCAAUCGCAGUCUUGGAGAUGCAGGGUUCGAAGCUUCUGAUUAGCUUAUUGUCAAUAGCAAUCUCGUCUGCACACAGCGCAAUCCUUAUAUCCAACUGCACGGUAUAGGAUACAUGGACUUUCAUAAAAGUGGUCUAGGUAGAUUGCCCUUAAAAGGAGAAAGUAAUGUAUUUUGAGGAUGGUAUCCUGGACCAGCAGACGCCAAACUCAGUAUUCGACCAUAAAUCAAAUACGGCAACUCUCAUAUUCGUCACAUACGGUAUGUUUGGAGAGUCGAACUGCAUUGGGGUGCAGACUGCAGCUGACAUGGAAUACAUUCUUAACUUAUGGGAGACGGCAGGUUAGCAGUUAAAUGGGAGAAAGGAGAUACUUCAUCUUGCAAACCAGAACUUGCUUACAGGUGGUUAAGUAAACACCUUGGAGAGGUCCAUUGAUUUUCAAAGCAUUAUCACCUGCAUUCUGUGGUCAGUGAGAGAUUCUACCAUCAAAUCCUCGCUACAAAUACAAUUUAUGGCUGACAGGACUUGGCAGGUGUUUCAAAGUAAAUUUUUCCCCUUCCUUCGUAAUGAACAUUCUUGCGAAGUCUGUGCUGCCGAGGAGUUCUCGCCAUCUACAAGUUAGGGAAGUCUUGGUUAAGAUAAACGCCGACGUGUUUUCUACCCUUUCUUCCUGGAACAUCCCUGUAUUUCCAUAGAGAUUCCUUCAAAUAAAAGAAGUGCAAGUUCCUCUGGUGUGCUUUAGACUGAAUAGCCUGAAAGCGCUUCACACGUAUUCCCAAGCCUAAUCGAGAAACGUUUCUCAUGUUGAAACCAAGGAGCGGACAGGGAGCUCACUCGUACAGUUGAGAGGUAACUGCCGCGCUUUUUAUCCAUGACCUUCCACGGGAUAUCGUUAUGUUGUCGUGUGUACAGUGAUUACUUGACAUGAUGUCUUCCCCUCAGAGGACACCUUUAAACUAACUGUCAGUCAUGUGAUUUGUGAUAACUUGUGGUGGAACUUGUAUGACGGAAGUACUCUCUUCAUGAGGGGACAUAGACACCUUUAGACUGUUGUAUUCAUCAUGUAUGGUGCCAUGUCUUUUGUAAUUUCCUCCCACAUAAAGGAUAAAAUUGAUAUCAGUAUUGUGGGUCAUGAUCAUUUGUAAUUUUAUGUAAGUGACAACAGCCUUUCUUAACUAAUGAUUUGCAAAACCCAGAGAGCUAGCUUAUGUAUAUAUUGAUGUUUUCAUUCGAACCCUAGGACAACAUUAUCCUUGGUUUUGCAAGUACAUUGUAUAUGUUCUUGUAUAUAUAGUGUUAAAUAACCUUUCUGAAGAAAUAAACAAACGUUUAAAAAGAUAA
This is a long non-coding RNA of Lineus longissimus, 2657 nucleotides long. RefSeq lists it as uncharacterized. The record is from RefSeq and is a predicted model, not a curated record. NCBI's taxonomy places the organism in Eukaryota, Metazoa, Nemertea, Pilidiophora, Heteronemertea, Lineidae. The transcript is spliced from 2 exons.